Molecule: long non-coding RNA, 2050 nt
Filed under: Anser cygnoides (Swan goose)
Lineage: Eukaryota; Metazoa; Chordata; Aves; Anseriformes; Anatidae
Description: lncRNA (ENSACDG00005002238.1)
Source: RNAcentral
AUGGAAGGGGGCCGGGAGCCACGCUGCUGCAGGGUGUCUAAUGGGGAUGUUUCCUCAGCCAAGACACCACUUUUUUUUUUUUAUUUAUAUAUAUAUAUAUAUAUAUCUUUUUCCCUUAGAAAUGGUUUCCCGGCCGUCCCCGUGUACAAAGCUGCAGGACGCCGCACGUCCCCUCCCAGGGACCGAGCCUCCCCCGGCCUCCAGCGCCAUGCGCCGCGGCCGCCUCCGCGGGGCCGCAUGCAGCCGCGUGUUGGUGUCAUCACCCCCGGAUCACUCCCCGGCCGGGAAGCCACCUUGAGACGUCCCCGAGGACCCCAAAGAUGUGCCGGUGGCCGGAGCGAAGGGGAAAAGGGCCCAAAACCCACCGGGACCGGCCGCCUCGGUGCGCCCCGUGCCCCCGGCCCCGCGGAUAAUAGCGGGGCUGCGGGGGCGAUUUCACGGAGAUUAACCCCGCGCCUUGCGCCGGGGCUGCCGCUGCCCUCGACACCGCUCCCCGAGUGUAUCAAAGGCGGAUUACAGAUAUAUUAGCCCCGUGGCCGGAUUUAUUAGCGGCAAUUUAUCACGUGGAGGCAGCCGGGGAGGGUGGAAGGCCAAGGGCAGGGGCGGAGGAGCCCGGCCUCCCUGUGGGGACCCGCAGCGUCGGCAGGGAGGCCCCGGUUGAAUUUUUGGGACGGGAGCCGUGCCGGGGUUGGUUUUCCCUUCCAGUUCCCCAAGGAUUUUGGUGCAGGUUGGGAAAAGGCAGCAGGGAAAUUCCUGCCGUGCUCGAGGCGAGGAAGAGGGGGAGCCUUCGGCCUCGCCGCUCACCGGGCUGCCCCCUCCGCACCUCCCCGGGGCUGGGGAAGGGAGAUCGGCGCCCAGCACCGCUCUGGGAGGGCCGGAGGGUGCCGAAACACCUCGGGGCCGGGGACGUCGCGUGGGGCACACCCAUGGGGCACACGGCGUGUGGCACGCAGCCUCUGCCGGCCUCCGGAGGCCCCGGCCUCCUGGUGCCCACGCCGAUGCCACCAGACCCCGGCGGCCGCCCCGAGCACCCCCAGCCCCUGCGGCGCGGGGACGCCCGGCUCCGGGCGCACGGCUCGGCGGGGGAACGAGCCUGGAAGAGGUUAAAGUGGGGCGAGCGGGGAGAGGAGCCUCGGAACGGGGCGUUUUAAUGACAUUCCAUUAAAGCUCCCUUUGGGGCCAGCGCGGCCGCCAUGUGCUCCACAUUCUCAUGGUAAUUAUGAGACAUCUGUAUAGAGGCUCUUUUCUCAUCAAAGAUGGCUCUCUUCAAAGACACUCCUGGGAAACCCUUCACCUCUGACCCGGGGGGUCAGCGCUGAAACAGUGGCUCUAUAGUGCGCGUUACUGUAAAGCCGAGUAUCCUUUUUCCUCCGCUAACCUGACCAGGUCCCGGCUUUUCAAGCGGGCCCGCGUUGAGCCGAGGGGGUGGGGGGCACCGGUUCGGGGACGGGCCCCCCCUCCGGCGGUCGCCGUUUCGGCAGCCCCGGCCACGGGUGCCACCGCCGCCUGCGCUGACCCCGGCCGUGGCGAUCAAAGCGGGAAGAAAAGGGUUUUAAUGAGCGGGGCCGGGGCUGCGUCCUCCCUUCCCUUGCGCUGGGGAAGGGGGACCCCGACGUCCUCCUCCCCGCGGUGCCACGGCAAAUCCCACCCCGGCUCCUGCGCCAAGUCCCUGGGGGCGAGUUUUGGGGGUCGCGGUAAGAAAACGGCCCUCUCCAAACGGCGUCCCCGGUGCCGGGGACGUGCUCCGCGGUGCCACCGGGCUCAGCGCCGGUGCCGCGGCGUGGCAAAGCCACCUCGUGUCCCCAUAUCCUCCGGGGACGUUUCCACCCCAAGCAGCAUCACCGCCCUCGGUGUGUCCCCAGGGUGCCACCUCCCCGGGCAGGGGACAGCGGGGCGGAGGGGACGGGUGCCCGGUGGCCCCCCCCGGGGUGGCUCCGUCCCUCCGGCACGGCAGCGGCGCACGAUCCCCGCGGCCCUUUCCAAUAAGUGGCAAAUGAUUCUUCGUCCUGUCGCUCCCCGGCGGCAAUAAACCUUAAUCACAAUGAAGUCA